AAAAGGAGAAAAUUACACCUCCCCAAGACU
This 30-nucleotide transfer RNA is filed under the name Kogia sima (dwarf sperm whale). Its description in RNAcentral is "partial tRNA-Thr". The record is from RNAcentral. Lineage: Eukaryota; Metazoa; Chordata; Mammalia; Artiodactyla; Physeteridae. RNAcentral also lists the same sequence under 1 other name.